This 373-nucleotide ribosomal RNA is filed under the name uncultured organism. RNAcentral describes it as "partial 16S ribosomal RNA". It matches the Rfam family "Bacterial small subunit ribosomal RNA", at positions 527 to 896 of the family's 1533-position model. The record is from RNAcentral.
GUAGGUGGCAAGCGUUGUCCGGAAUUAUUGGGCGUAAAGCGCGCGCAGGCGGUUCUUUAAGUCUGAUGUGAAAGCCCACGGCUCAACCGUGGAGGGUCAUUGGAAACUGGAGAACUUGAGUACAGAAGAGGAAAGCGGAAUUCCACGCGUAGCGGUGAAAUGCGUAGAGAUGUGGAGGAACACCAGUGGCGAAGGCGGCUUUCUGGUCUGUAACUGACGCUGAGGCGCGAAAGCGUGGGGAGCAAACAGGGAUUAGAUACCCUGGUAGUCCACGCCGUAAACGAUGAGUGCUAAGUGUUAGGGGGUUUCCGCCCCCUUAGUGCUGCAGCUAACGCAUUAAGCACUCCGCCUGGGGAGUACGGCCGCAAGGCUG